AGAAAAAGCCCUAGUCCCCCAUUCUCUCCCAAUCGUUUACCUCUCAUUCUCACGACACCAAGCCUCGUUCAAACAGAGAGAGAGAGAGAGAGAGAGAGAGAGAGAGAGAGCCGGGGGGGAAGGAGGAGCUCGACAGGCUCUAAUGGACCACCAACAGUGGCCACCUCGACAGGUUUCGGCGCCGUACAGCUCUCACGGCUAACCACCCACGUACAUGACUUCAACCUCCAUUGCUGCCCAUUACCUUCACCAGGCUUACUUGCAUUGACCUUGGUAUUUUGCAAGAAGUGUGUACGGGGUCAAUCCAGGGAAAGUACAAUAAAGUCAGGAAACAGCUUGGUCAAUGAAGGAUUUGAUUUUUCAUUAAUUUGACACAAAUUUGAUGAUGCAUUAGACCGAAUACAAGUUUGAAGUAGGGUUUCAGUGCUAUGGUUGAUGAUAUUGUGUUUUGGGCGAGUUCUAGACAAGCAUUUUACUGUUUCUGUUUGUAUCUCGUUUGUCAAUAUCAAAAAACUGAGAUGAAUAUGUAGAAAAUAACAUUUUUGUAAAUAAAUUUUGUAAUGUAUGUGUUGUGUUGGUUUGGGUACGUAUUCGAUGAAGGAUUUGGUUUUCCAUU
This is a long non-coding RNA of Rhododendron vialii, 616 nucleotides long. RefSeq lists it as uncharacterized. The record is from RefSeq and is a predicted model, not a curated record. NCBI's taxonomy places the organism in Eukaryota, Viridiplantae, Streptophyta, Magnoliopsida, Ericales, Ericaceae. The transcript has 2 exons.